GUGCUCUCUUCAGCAGCAUAUAUACUAAAAUUGGAAUGAUACAGAAAAGAUUAGCAUGGCCCCUAUGCAAGGAUGACACCCAAGUUUGUGAAGCAUUUCGUAUUUUU
RNAcentral lists this small nuclear RNA (107 nucleotides) under Prolemur simus (greater bamboo lemur). The record is from RNAcentral. Lineage: Eukaryota; Metazoa; Chordata; Mammalia; Primates; Lemuridae.